Long non-coding RNA from Mastomys coucha (southern multimammate mouse), 487 nucleotides. RefSeq lists it as uncharacterized. Lineage: Eukaryota; Metazoa; Chordata; Mammalia; Rodentia; Muridae. The record is from RefSeq and is a predicted model, not a curated record. The transcript is spliced from 4 exons.
GCACAAAUGGCACAGUGUGUGUACCCAGGGACUUUGUGAGGUCAGCAUAGGUCCCUGUCAAUUCAGAGGACCAGGACAAGCCAUGUGUUCUGAUAAAACAUGAGAGCCAUGUCAGUGGGACCAGGCUUUCUUCCUCUGGCCUUUCUUCUUUGGAGCAGAAACCCAGUCAAGCCCUGAGCUGGUGCUGCUCAUCAAACAACUGCAGGGUGUUGGAACCCUGAGCUGCUUCUACCCUGGGGCCUGGACAGCAGCAGUGGACCCUCCACGCAGCCAGCUCUCUCGACUUUCUCACACAUACCUGGAGACUGACUUCCUCAAGCUGACGCCAAGUGGCCUCUUGGACUGACCUGGCUGCCAAGUGGGAGCAAGCACAGGAUGAGUCCUCUGCUUCGUGAUCUGCCAUCUGUGAGAAGCUUGCUGUAAGGUCCUCCUGCCUCAAGACCGUGAGGAGACCAUGAGCCGAAAUAGUCCCGACUUCUUAUAAGGC